CAUUGCGGGACCGGUGGUCGGCACUAGACUUGAGGGGAGGGGAGGAAGAGGAGGGGGAAAAGGAGGAAAAAGAAAGGCAUCCAACACAGAACAUCACAUAGUAUAGAUACCAGGAAACAAGAACAAUUGUCUUAGGGGUGCUAUGUGACACAGAGUGCCCAUGAAGAACAGCAGCUAGGGUGGACUAAGGAAAAUAAGAUGUGGUCCCUGGCCUGGAAGAGCUCUGCAUGGUAUUACAGCAUAGACGUGACCUGGAUGCUUAGUAUCAUAGCACAAGAGCAUGAGCAUAGACAAAAGUAAAAAAAGGCCUCUUGAAAAAGAUUCUUGGCCGUAGUCUUAAGGCAAAGUCUAUAGUUAGCCACUGAGCACGCAAGACAUCUAUUCAAUUUGAUUCCACAAGUGUUUCUGGACAACCUACUAUGUGCCAUGAUAGACCAUGUUCAGAGAACCACGUGUAUUUUAGUACGGCUACAGCUAUGCAUAAUAUUAUAAAAGUCCUGGAUGCUCGCCUCCAGAGUUUGGAUUUCAUCCUUUAGAUGGCAGAAAUCAACGGAAAAUACGAACAGCAGGGUAGUAAUACCCUUCCUCAGCCUUCUUAUACGAUACAUUCUGCCCAAGGAGCUAUCAUAAAGGCUCCAGGGAGCUGCUGGGCCCCCUAUAUCAGACAUGGCAUACAAGAUCAGUGCUAGGGUCUACUGCCUCUCUGCCCCGUUAUGCCAUCACACUCCACUGUUCCAGUGGUGGGUACGGUCUACUGCCUCUCUACCCCCGUUAUGCCAUCAUACUCCACUGUACCAGUGGUGGGUACGGUCUACUGCCUCUCUGCCCCGUUAUGCCAUCACACUCCACUGUACCAGUGGUGGGUACGGUCUACUGCCUCUCUGCCCCCGUUAUGCCAUCAUACUCCACUGUACCAGUGGUGGGUACGGUCUACUGCCUCUCUACCCCCGUUGCGCCAUCGCACUCCAGUGUUCCAGUGGUGGGUAGGGUCUACUGCCUCUCUGCCCCCGUUAUGCCAUCACACUCCACUGUUCCGGUGGUGGGUACGGUCUACUGCCUCUCUACCCCCGUUGCGCCAUCGCACUCCAGUGUUCCAGUGGGGGGUAGGGUCUACUGCCUCUCUACCCCCGUUGCGCCAUCGCACUCCAGUGUUCCAGUGGGGGGAAGGGUCUACUGCCUCUCUGCCCCGUUAUGCCAUCACACUCCACUGUACCAGUGGUGGGUACGGUCUACUGCCUCUCUGCCCCCGUUAUGCCAUCACACUCCACUGCACCAGUGGUGGGUAUGGUCUACUGCCUCUCUACCCCUGUUGCGCCAUCGCACUCAAGUGUUCAGUGGGGGGUAGGGUCUACUGCCUCUCUGCCCCGUUAUGCCAUCACACUACACUGUAUCAGUGGGGGGAUGGUAUACCGCCUCUCUGCCCCCAUUAUGCAUCACACUCAGUGUACAGUGGAGAGGACGGACUACUGCCUCU
Molecule: long non-coding RNA, 1474 nt
Filed under: Oryctolagus cuniculus (rabbit)
Lineage: Eukaryota; Metazoa; Chordata; Mammalia; Lagomorpha; Leporidae
Description: lncRNA (ENSOCUG00000034473.1)
Source: RNAcentral